This 253-nucleotide ribosomal RNA is filed under the name uncultured bacterium. Its description in RNAcentral is "partial 16S ribosomal RNA". It matches the Rfam family "Bacterial small subunit ribosomal RNA", at positions 524 to 776 of the family's 1533-position model. The record is from RNAcentral.
UACGUAGGGACCGAGCGUUGUCCGGAUUCAUUGGGCGUAAAGAGCUCGUAGGCGGCUGUUCAAGUCGAACGUGAAAACUCGGAGCUCAACUCCGAGCCUGCGUUCGAUACUGGACGGCUAGAGUCUGGUAGGGGGAUCUGGAAUUCCUGGUGUAGCGGUGAAAUGCGUAGAUAUCAGGAGGAACACCUGCGGUGUAGACGGCUUACUGGACCGUAACUGACGCUGAGGCACGAAAGCGUGGGUAGCAAACAGG